This 21-nucleotide unclassified non-coding RNA is filed under the name Dictyostelium discoideum. The record is from RNAcentral. Lineage: Eukaryota; Evosea; Eumycetozoa; Dictyosteliales; Dictyosteliaceae.
UAAUGCUAAAGAACAAAGAAG